ACUCCUGCGGGAGGCAGCAGUGGGGAAUAUUGCACAAUGGGCGCAAGCCUGAUGCAGCCAUGCCGCGUGUAUGAAGAAGGCCUUCGGGUUGUAAAGUACUUUCAGCGGGGAGGAAGGCAAUACGGUUAAUAACCGUGUUGAUUGACGUUACCCGCAGAAGAAGCACCGGCUAACUCCGUGCCAGCAGCCGCGGUAAUACGGAGGGUGCAAGCGUUAAUCGGAAUUACUGGGCGUAAAGCGCACGCAGGCGGUCUGUCAAGUCGGAUGUGAAAUCCCCGGGCUCAACCUGGGAACUGCAUUCGAAACUGGCAGGCUUGAGUCUUGUAGAGGGGGGUAGAAUUCCAGGUGUAGCGGUGAAAUGCGUAGAGAUCUGGAGGAAUACCGGUGGCGAAGGCGGCCCCCUGGACAAAGACUGACGCUCAGGUGCGAAAGCGUGGGGAGCAAACAGGAUUAGAAACCCGUGUAGUCCCAUG
Molecule: ribosomal RNA, 473 nt
Filed under: uncultured organism
Description: partial 16S ribosomal RNA
Rfam family: Bacterial small subunit ribosomal RNA
Source: RNAcentral